Molecule: ribosomal RNA, 900 nt
Filed under: Massilia aurea
Lineage: Bacteria; Pseudomonadati; Pseudomonadota; Betaproteobacteria; Burkholderiales; Oxalobacteraceae
Description: bacterial SSU rRNA
Rfam family: Bacterial small subunit ribosomal RNA
Source: RNAcentral
GCGAGUGGCGAACGGGUGAGUAAUAUAUCGGAACGUACCCAAGAGUGGGGGAUAACGUAGCGAAAGUUACGCUAAUACCGCAUACGAUCUAAGGAUGAAAGCAGGGGAUCUUCGGACCUUGUGCUCCUGGAGCGGCCGAUAUCUGAUUAGCUAGUUGGUGAGGUAAAGGCUCACCAAGGCCACGAUCAGUAGCUGGUCUGAGAGGACGACCAGCCACACUGGAACUGAGACACGGUCCAGACUCCUACGGGAGGCAGCAGUGGGGAAUUUUGGACAAUGGGCGAAAGCCUGAUCCAGCAAUGCCGCGUGAGUGAAGAAGGCCUUCGGGUUGUAAAGCUCUUUUGUCAGGGAAGAAACGGUGAGGGCUAAUAUCCCUCGCUAAUGACGGUACCUGAAGAAUAAGCACCGGCUAACUACGUGCCAGCAGCCGCGGUAAUACGUAGGGUGCAAGCGUUAAUCGGAAUUACUGGGCGUAAAGCGUGCGCAGGCGGUUUUGUAAGUCUGACGUGAAAUCCCCGGGCUCAACCUGGGAAUUGCGUUGGAGACUGCAAGGCUAGAAUCUGGCAGAGGGGGGUAGAAUUCCACGUGUAGCAGUGAAAUGCGUAGAGAUGUGGAGGAACACCGAUGGCGAAGGCAGCCCCCUGGGUCAAGAUUGACGCUCAUGCACGAAAGCGUGGGGAGCAAACAGGAUUAGAUACCCUGGUAGUCCACGCCCUAAACGAUGUCUACUAGUUGUCGGGUUUUAAUUAACUUGGUAACGCAGCUAACGCGUGAAGUAGACCGCCUGGGGAGUACGGUCGCAAGAUUAAAACUCAAAGGAAUUGACGGGGACCCGCACAAGCGGUGGAUGAUGUGGAUUAAUUCGAUGCAACGCGAAAAACCUUACCUACCCUUGACAUG